CGGUACCGGCGCGGAAUCCGAUGCCGGCGCGAUGGUGGGCGCAUGCCGGGCGCCGCUGCCGCCGCCGCCAUGGGGCGGAUGGCCGUUGUUGGUGGUGUGUUGCGUGCCUGCUCCCGUCGCCUGCAUUUUGUCGGCCGCGUCUCCUUUGACCCUCUGCUCGCCCUCCUUUUUUUUCUGGUGCUUUCCCUCCCUCUUUGCUCUGGUCGGCCGGGUCGCGUCUCCUCCCCCUGUGGGCUUGUGCUUUUCCUCUGUGGGCGCGCGCUUCUUUUUUUUCUUUCGCUUCGGGCUCGCCUCGAGUCCCUGGCGCGCGCGACCGACCGCCGACAUCACAAAAAAA
Molecule: long non-coding RNA, 337 nt
Filed under: Pandoravirus dulcis
Description: putative ncRNA
Source: RNAcentral